Molecule: long non-coding RNA, 568 nt
Filed under: Daucus carota (carrot)
Lineage: Eukaryota; Viridiplantae; Streptophyta; Magnoliopsida; Apiales; Apiaceae
Description: long non-coding RNA (DCAR_LNC005542)
Source: RNAcentral
GCGGUCCGGUUUGGUUCGGGUUGGAGGUAGAACCGGAACCAAACCAUAUAUUAGCGGUUUUUUAUAAUCUCAAAUCAACCCGCGACCCGCAAACCAAUUAACCCGGACCAAGCGGUGCGGUUUUUAAUGGUUCGGUUAAGCGGAUUGAUCGGUUUAUGACUAAGGCUUAUAAUCAGAAAUGAGAAUUCAUGAAUAAUACUAGAAAAUAGAGGAUCAUUUUGUCUCAAUUUACAUAAUUUCACAUAGUUAAAUUAAAAUACAAAUUUUAGUCUAAUAAAAUGCAUAAAGUUGAACCGAAGUCGUGGAAUACCGAAUUGAUAUGACUUGUAGUUGGUAUUGAUAAGGUAAGCAACUAAACAACCUAGCAAGUAUAAACUAAAAAAUUAAUAUAUUUAUGUAAAACUAAUAUUUUGUAUAUAUAUAAUAUUAAAUAUUUAUAUUAUAUAUAUACACAUGCGGUUCGGUUUUAUAACGGGUUGGUUUAAUAUAAAACCGAAACCAACCCACAAACCACGGUUUUUUAAAUUAGUCGAACCGAAACCGUAAACCUCAUUUCGGUUUCGGUUUG